GAGAGAAACUUGGCAUGAGGUCCCUGAAUCCCAUUUCUCAGUCCCCAGACUUUCCCAGUCACCACCGCAACGCCAGUAGCCUUGGAGGCUCCAUCAUUCUUGGGGCGGGCCCAUGCACUGGAAAUUGUCUGACUGCAUCCCUGGCCUCUACCCACUAGGUGUCAGUAGCAGCCAUCCCCCUGGUUGGGACAACCCCAAAUGUCUCUGGAAACUGCCAAGGUGUAUGUGUUGGGGGGAGGGGAGCAAAUCCCCCACCACCACCUCCCUAUAAUUGACUUCUGCAGAAGUGAGCAUUGACAUUUAUGAAGCCUAGACAAAGGGACCAUGUUUGGUGGUGUUUAGUUAUUUUUCAGAAUCUGCUUUGUGGGUUAACUGUGAUGAAAUCAAGGUCAGGGUUGGCGUGUCUUAGCUCUGCUAUCACUCAUCGGCUGGGGCUUCUCCGAGCAGAGCCCCUGACCUUGCACGCAGGUAAG
Bos taurus (domestic cattle) is the source of this 473-nucleotide long non-coding RNA. The record is from Ensembl. NCBI's taxonomy places the organism in Eukaryota, Metazoa, Chordata, Mammalia, Artiodactyla, Bovidae.